Molecule: ribosomal RNA, 672 nt
Filed under: Dreissena presbensis
Lineage: Eukaryota; Metazoa; Mollusca; Bivalvia; Myida; Dreissenidae
Description: eukaryotic LSU rRNA
Rfam family: Eukaryotic large subunit ribosomal RNA
Source: RNAcentral
GAAGAGAGAGUUCAAGAGUACGUGAAACCGCAUAGAGUCAAACUGGUGGAUCCGCAGAGUCCGCGCGGGGAAUUCAGCUCGGCAGGCGGGGCCGUGCGCCGGCCGAGAUUCGUCUCGGACCUGGCUGGCGCGCUGCGUACUCGCAGGCAGGGUGCACUUUCCCCGGCUAGCGGAAGGCCACGACCGGUUCGGUGGCGGUCAGGAGCCCGGAGCGGGAGGUAGCCGUGAUCGGUUCACGCCGAUUGCGGAACGUACAGCCCUCCGAGGUGGACUCGCCGCUGGACCGAGGAUGCCGCGGUGGCCUCACGCCGCGGGCCGUCCGGGAGCGUUCGACUUUGGCCACGCUGCUCGCAGCCGGCCGAGACCGCGCUUCUGGUACGGGCUCGCGAACGGGGGCCGCCUAGGGUCAGUGGCGAAUCGGUCGGCAACCCACCAGACCCGUCUUGAAACACGGACCAAGGAGUCUAGCAUGUGCGCGAGUCACGGGGUCUCUCGAAACCCAAGGGCGCAAUGAAAGUGAAGGCCGCCUCCGGCUGGCCCAGGCAAGAUCCCGAGACGUUCGCGUCGAGGGCGCACUGCCGGCCCGUCUCGCUGGCAUCGACCACGAGGCGGAGCAAGAGCGCACACGCUGGGACCCGAAAGAUGGUGAACUAUGCCUGAGUAGGACGAAGU